This 448-nucleotide ribosomal RNA is filed under the name uncultured bacterium. RNAcentral's name for it is "bacterial SSU rRNA". It matches the Rfam family "Bacterial small subunit ribosomal RNA", at positions 329 to 794 of the family's 1533-position model. The record is from RNAcentral.
GUCCAGACUCCUACGGGAGGCAGCAGUGGGGAAUAUUGCACAAUGGGCGAAAGCCUGAUGCAGCAACGCCGCGUGAGUGAUGAAGGCCUUCGGGUCGUAAAACUCUGUCCUCAAGGAAGAUAAUGACGGUACUUGAGGAGGAAGCCCCGGCUAACUACGUGCCAGCAGCCGCGGUAAUACGUAGGGGGCUAGCGUUGUUCGGAAUUACUGGGCGUAAAGGGAGUGUAGGCGGUUUAGUAAGAUAGUGGUGAAAUCCCAGGGCUUAACUUUGGAAUUGCCAUUAUAACUAUUAGACUAGAAUUACAGAGAGGAUAGUGGAAUACCCAGUGUAGAGGUGAAAUUCGUAGAUAUUGGGUAGAACACCAGUGGCGAAGGCGACUAUCUGGCUGUACAUUGACGCUGAGGCUCGAAAGCAUGGGGAUCAAACAGGAUUAGAUACCCGCGUAAA